UGGGGAAUAUUGGACAAUGGGCGCAAGCCUGAUCCAGCCAUGCCGCGUGUGUGAAGAAGGCCUUUUGGUUGUAAAGCACUUUAAGCGAGGAGGAGGCUACUUGGAUUAAUACUCUAAGAUAGUGGACGUUACUCGCAGAAUAAGCACCGGCUAACUCUGUGCCAGCAGCCGCGGUAAUACAGAGGGUGCGAGCGUUAAUCGGAUUUACUGGGCGUAAAGCGUGCGUAGGCGGCUUCUUAAGUCGGAUGUGAAAUCACUGAGCUUAACGUAGGAAUUGCAUUCGAUACUGGGAAGCUAGAGUAUGGGAGAGGAUGGUAGGAUUCCAGGUGUAGCGGUGAGAUGCGUAGAGGUCAGGAGGAGUACCGAUGGCGAAGGCAGCCAUCUGGCCUAAUACUGACGCUGAGGUACGAAAGCAUGGGGAGCAAACAGG
This 430-nucleotide ribosomal RNA is filed under the name bacterium. RNAcentral's name for it is "partial 16S ribosomal RNA". It matches the Rfam family "Bacterial small subunit ribosomal RNA", at positions 355 to 776 of the family's 1533-position model. The record is from RNAcentral.